Cynoglossus semilaevis (tongue sole) is the source of this 607-nucleotide long non-coding RNA. RefSeq lists it as uncharacterized. The record is from RefSeq and is a predicted model, not a curated record. NCBI's taxonomy places the organism in Eukaryota, Metazoa, Chordata, Actinopteri, Pleuronectiformes, Cynoglossidae. The transcript is spliced from 3 exons.
ACACGGGUAUCUCUUGUGACCCCACGCUGCUCCCGGAGCCCAACCACGUCAUGUUGAACCACCUGUACGCCCUGUCUAUCAAGGACGGCGUGAUGGUUCUCAGCGCGACGCACCGAUACAAGAAGAAGUACGUGACCACGCUGCUGUACAAACCCAUCUGACGACCCGGUGACCUUUGACCUGUGGAGCUUUCUGAGGAGACAACUGAACGUGAAAGUGAAGCUAACGAAUUGUUUUAUUUUUUAAAAAAAUCUUAAUCGUAAUUGAAGCUGUCGUAGUUUUAAAAUUCCCGUAUGUUUCCGUUGCUGUACUCGUAUGGUUUGGACCAAUGAGCUGUGAGAAAAUCGUCAGGUGAUCUGUGGAACAAUAUCCAUUUUCACUUAAUUUUAUUUUAUUUGUCGCAAAUGAUUCUUUUUCGCCCGUCUGUGCCCCAGUGACAGGCAGAACAAUUAAAUUCUCUUCCACCAGGGGGCAGCAGAAGGCUAUUAAAAAUGGAGACUCGGAGCUGGUAAAAAAGAUUUUCGUGUUCCUUUCUUUAAUUCCUGUCAGUAUAUCAGCUCUGUGUUCAACUAAACAGGACUUUGCAAUAAAGAUGAUUUCAAGUGUA